Molecule: ribosomal RNA, 449 nt
Filed under: uncultured bacterium
Lineage: Bacteria
Description: partial 16S ribosomal RNA
Rfam family: Bacterial small subunit ribosomal RNA
Source: RNAcentral
AUUGAACGCUGGCGGCAUGCCUUACACAUGCAAGUCGAACGAAGUCUUCGGACUUAGUGGCGGACGGGUGAGUAACACGUGGGAACGUGCCUUUAGGUUCGGAAUAACUCAGGGAAACUUGUGCUAAUACCGAAUGUGCCCUUCGGGGGAAAGAUUUAUCGCCUUUAGAGCGGCCCGCGUCUGAUUAGCUAGUUGGUGAGGUAAAGGCUCACCAAGGCGACGGUCAGUAGCUGGUCUGAGAGGAUGAUCGGCCACAUUGGGACUGAGACACGGCCCAAACUCCUACGGGAGGCAGCAGUGGGGAAUCUUGCGCAAUGGGCGAAAGCCUGACGCAGCCAUGCCGCGUGAAUGAUGAAGGUCUUAGGAUUGUAAAAUUCUUUCACCGGGGACGAUAAUGACGGUACCCGGAGAAGAAGCCCCGGCUAACCUCGUGCCAGCCGCCGCCGUAA